GCCGGGUGGUGGUGGCGCAUGCCUUU
Molecule: non-coding RNA, 26 nt
Filed under: Cricetulus griseus (Chinese hamster)
Lineage: Eukaryota; Metazoa; Chordata; Mammalia; Rodentia; Cricetidae
Source: RNAcentral